AGUGAACGCUGGCGGUAGGCCUAACACAUGCAAGUCGAACGGCAGCACAGUAAGAGCUUGCUCUUACGGGUGGCGAGUGGCGGACGGGUGAGGAAUACAUCGGAAUCUACUUUUUCGUGGGGGAUAACGUAGGGAAACUUACGCUAAUACCGCAUACGACCUACGGGUGAAAGCAGGGGAUCUUCGGACCUUGCGCGAUUGAAUGAGCCGGUGUCGGAUAGCUAGUUGGCGGGGUAAAGGCCCACCAAGGCGACGAUCCGUAGCUGGUCUGAGAGGAUGAUCAGCCACACUGGAACUGAGACACGGUCCAGACUCCUACGGGAGGCAGCAGUGGGGAAUAUUGGACAAUGGGCGCAAGCCUGAUCCAGCCAUACCGCGUGGGUGAAGAAGGCCUUCGGGUUGUAAAGCCCUUUUGUUGGGAAAGAAAAGCAGCAGGUUAAUACCCCGCUGUUCUGACGGUACCCAAAGAAUAAGCACCGGCUAACUUCGUG
RNAcentral lists this ribosomal RNA (491 nucleotides) under uncultured bacterium. RNAcentral describes it as "partial 16S ribosomal RNA". It matches the Rfam family "Bacterial small subunit ribosomal RNA", at positions 29 to 507 of the family's 1533-position model. The record is from RNAcentral.